Molecule: long non-coding RNA, 202 nt
Filed under: Mytilus galloprovincialis (Mediterranean mussel)
Lineage: Eukaryota; Metazoa; Mollusca; Bivalvia; Mytilida; Mytilidae
Source: RNAcentral
GGUGAAGUUGGUAUAUUGCUACUAAGGUGGGGAAAUUUAUAAUUUCAAAAUUAAAAUCGUCUCGUUUGUCAUAGAUUAUGGUACUGAGAUGACUGUGUAAGUCAAAUUCGAGAUAUAAGUCUAAAAAUGAGGCAGAGGAAGCCGUGUCUGGUGUUUCUUUAAUUCUAGUUAUAGGGGAUAUAUUAAUGGAACCCAAUCAGAA